UACAGAGGGUGCGAGCGUUAAUCGGAAUUACUGGGCGUAAAGCGUGCGUAGACGGCUAUCUAAGUCGGGUGUGAAAGCCCCGGGCUCCACCUGGGAAUUGCAUUCGAGACUGAAUAGCUAGGGUACGGUAGAGGGAAGUGGAAUUUCCGGUGUAGCGGUGAAAUGCGUAGAUAUCGGAAGGAACACCAGUGGCGAAAGCGGCUUCCUGGUCCAGCACCGACGUCAGGCACGAAAGCGUGGGGAGCAAAC
This 249-nucleotide ribosomal RNA is filed under the name uncultured bacterium. RNAcentral's name for it is "partial 16S ribosomal RNA". It matches the Rfam family "Bacterial small subunit ribosomal RNA", at positions 524 to 773 of the family's 1533-position model. The record is from RNAcentral.